This 207-nucleotide ribosomal RNA is filed under the name uncultured bacterium. Its description in RNAcentral is "partial 16S ribosomal RNA". It matches the Rfam family "Bacterial small subunit ribosomal RNA", at positions 524 to 729 of the family's 1533-position model. The record is from RNAcentral.
UACGUAGGGUGCAAGCGUUGUCCGGAAUUAUUGGGCGUAAAGAGCUUGUAGGUGGUUUGUCGCGUCUGCUGUGAAAAUCCGAGGCUCAACCUCGGACUUGCAGUGGGUACGGGCAGACUAGAGUGUGGUAGGGGAGACUGGAAUUCCUGGUGUAGCGGUGGAAUGCGCAGAUAUCAGGAGGAACACCGAUGGCGAAGGCAGGGUCUC